GGAAACUGGGACGCGAUCGCCACCGGGUUUUGAAGGAAUACCUCGAAUAUUGAUGCUACCGACGUAAGCUGACUGUCGGACCGGGGAGCGAGAUGACAGAAUACUGCGCCUCGCACGCGAUACACGCCGAGUACCGAUCGUCUAGGUGGACGACCAGGUGGUAGCUAGGUAGGAGCUACAGUGAAUCAUGCGUCAUCGCGCGAAGGGAUAAUUACACUCUGGAGCGAACGCACGAUUCUUGAAGUGACCAGAAGCAAGACAGGUGGGCUUGCGUUCCGGUUAGAAAAGGAGUUUUCUAAAGAUAAGAAACGGAACAAAUAAAACUGAGGAACCAAAGGAUUUUCCUUGACGAGCGAUCAAAAAUGGGAUAAGUCUUGCUUGGCAGAGAAGAGAAAGUGAGAGGAUAGAAACUUCCUUCCCACAAGUGACCAGAGACAGAGACAAUCCGGCAAGAAGAGAUAAACUUGUAAAAGAAAAAACGAAGCGACGAAAAGUAGGAAAAUAGGAAUUUCCAGUUGAUCGGUCGACACAGAAGAAAGUGCACACAAAACUAUUUAGGAAAGGAUUCCCUGAAAUUGUGUUACAACAAAGAAAGACAUUUUUCUUUUUGUAUCUUCUGUAUUUACAAUAAUUCCGUACGUCACAGUUGCGUGAUGUCACCAUACGUCACGCUUCACGUGCAAUGACGCAGGACCUUUCUAAGCGAAAGGAGAACCGGUACAUUCUCUUAGCGUCGAGAAGAGAUGAAAUUACACGCGGCAUUCAUAUUGCGCAUUUGCACGCUCAUUAUGCAUACACUUACAUAAUAAAACAUUUAAAGUCAUCUUCGCAAACUUAUGCAAAUUAAUUUAGUAAUAAUUAUGCAAUUAGUAAUAAUUAUUUUCAUAAUUAAAAAGCAAUACUGUUGCUCCGCAUUUCUCUCACAGAAAACCAGACUUAAAGUAAAAUAUUUCAGGCAUUUUAUUCACGCAUCUUUUUAAAAUUUUCUGAAGAGCAAUUGCUCAAUGUUUUAAUGUCUCAAUGUUGCAUACACGGUGCCGUAGUUGUUCAGGUCAUGUGGCGACAUUUUCAAACUCACAUAAUUUCAAUUUUCAAUACAAUUUUUCGUCAAGUUUAAGAACGUAUAGUUAACGUAGCAAGGACAAAUGAUGAAUUGCAAUUUGCUCGAAAUACGCGGGAAACAAAACCACUUAUUAUCAUCAUUACACAUAGCGGCGUGAUAUGACAUAUGUGCCAGCAAUUGUAUAACUAAGUUUUCAUCGAUAAAACAGCAAAUGUGACACGUGUAGUUCUA
Molecule: long non-coding RNA, 1294 nt
Organism: Monomorium pharaonis (pharaoh ant)
Lineage: Eukaryota; Metazoa; Arthropoda; Insecta; Hymenoptera; Formicidae
Exons: 2
Source: RefSeq, a predicted model, not a curated record